This 2736-nucleotide unclassified non-coding RNA is filed under the name Helicoverpa zea (corn earworm). RNAcentral's name for it is "guanine nucleotide-binding protein G(I)/G(S)/G(T) subunit beta-1, transcript variant X1". The record is from RNAcentral. Lineage: Eukaryota; Metazoa; Arthropoda; Insecta; Lepidoptera; Noctuidae.
CCAGGAACUUUGACGCAAUUUGCAAAUGGCCGUGAAAAGGACUGAACUCGAGAAUCGAGGGUGUAUGAAAGGCUAAUGGUGGAUUGUACCGUGAUAAAAACUUGUGUAUAAUUCUAUAUUCAGUGUGGUGCUGUGCAAGAUACAAAAUGUGCCAAAAAGUGAGAAUCCAGUCUUAAUGUUGGUAUAGGACGCGCCCGAAAACCGCUGGAGCGACGAUCGAAGGGACAUUGCUGACAGAAGGAGGUCGUAGCGUAGCGCAUUAUCGGACGCGCGCGCGGUUGUCGAGCGGUCGUACAUUAAGAGGCCAGUGGCUAAGCACCCACCAUGAAUGAAUUGGACAGCCUGCGACAGGAGGCGGAGACGCUCAAGAAUGCUAUCAGAGAUGCUAGGAAGGCGGCAUGCGACACGUCGCUGGCGCAGGCGACCGCCAACCUGGAGCCCAUCGGGCGCAUACAGAUGCGCACGCGACGCACGCUGCGCGGUCACCUCGCCAAGAUCUACGCCAUGCAUUGGGGCAGCGAUUCCAGGAACCUGGUAUCGGCGAGUCAGGACGGCAAGCUGAUAGUGUGGGACAGCCACACCACGAACAAGGUGCACGCGAUACCGCUGCGCUCCAGCUGGGUGAUGACGUGCGCGUACGCACCCUCCGGCUCGUACGUCGCGUGCGGCGGUCUAGACAAUAUAUGCUCCAUUUAUAGUUUGAAGACGCGCGAGGGCAACGUGCGCGUGUCCCGCGAGCUGCCGGGCCACUCGGGCUACCUCUCCUGCUGCCGGUUCCUCGACGACAACCAGAUCCUCACCAGCUCCGGCGAUAUGACAUGCGCCCUGUGGGACAUCGAGACGGGCCAGCAGUGCGGGCAGUUCACGGGGCACACGGGCGACGUGAUGUCGCUGUCGCUGGCGCCCGACCAGCGCACCUUCGUGUCGGGCGCCUGCGACGCGUCCGCCAAGCUGUGGGACAUCCGCGACUGCGCCUGCAAGCAGACCUUCCCCGGCCACGAGAGCGACAUCAAUGCCGUCACGUUCUUCCCAUCCGGGUUCGCGUUCGCGACGGGGUCGGACGACGCGACGUGCCGCAUGUUCGACAUCCGCGCCGACCAGGAGCUCGCCAUGUACUCGCACGACAACAUCAUCUGCGGCAUCACGUCCGUCGCCUUCAGCAAGUCCGGCCGCCUGCUGCUGGCCGGCUACGACGACUUCAACUGCAAUGUGUGGGACUCUAUGAAGAGUGAACGCGCUGGUAUCCUGGCCGGCCACGACAACCGCGUAUCAUGCCUGGGCGUCACCGAGAACGGCAUGGCCGUCGCCACCGGCUCCUGGGACUCGUUCCUGCGCAUCUGGAACUAAGCCCCCCCCCCACCUGCCCCACCCCGGACACCCCGCUCCACCCCACCACUCGUCUACUCACUCACUUGCUAUACUAUUCACCUACGAUGACGUAACGCGUUCUAGAAGCUUAUAGAUGCUUCCAGAACGUGUGACGGCAUCGUCGCCGUCGGUAGCGAGUGGAUGGUCAUAACUUGAAUGAAUUUCUCGAUGGUUAGCCCCAGUUUAGCCGGUGAUGUCAGUUUCUAGUUUUAUAUAUUCGAUAUCAAAUGCGGUGUGUGAAUGUGUUAGCUUCUAAUUUUGAUAUCGUAACGCUGACGAUGGUCUGUAUUUCCUCGUUCGGUUCGGCCAUCGCAGGCAUUGAGGAGGCUCAAUGAUUAACGAAAUUCGAUUUUGUGAGACCUCAAGAACUUUGGUCUUUAUUGUAAAGGGGCGGCUGUAACGGUUUAUUUACUAAACUCUACACCUGUAUAAAGACUUGUCCAGUCAUCUUGUAGUUUAUUAUCAUUAAACAAUAAUUUCUGAUCUGAUGCACAGAGGACUUCGUGUAUAUAAUGUCGUAUUGUGUUGUUACACUGGAAGGCACAAUGUACAGCGCAGUAUGUUCGUACAUUACAGCGCACAAAACAACGCACAUGCUUCGAAACUGCGCAAAUACACAAUACAAUACGACUCGGCCGCGUCUCACGGGAACAAACCCGUACAAAAAACUCGCUUUAUUUAUUUAUAAUUAUAAUUUCUAACAAUAUUAAAAGCAUUUAAACAACUUUUAGGGAGGUAUGUAGUUUACAUUUGUAUGUAUGUGUGCGUUAGAUGUGCGAGUGUGUGAGCGUCACUACGGAUCCAUUGUUCACUGCAUAACGUAUAUAAUUAUAAUAUAAUGUAAUGAUUGAUAUAUAAUUAACGAUAGACGCUGGACACCUUUCCAAGGAGGGGUUCUUAGCUGCCGGAAACAUUUUCUGUUUAUUGGUGACAACAUCGCACAACAGAAUACUAUCUAUAAAAAACUAUAAUUAAAGAACCAAAUAUUAAUUAUAAAUGUAUCUAUGCAUAACUUAUUGAAUGAGAACAUUAUUUUCGUUUCUCGUCACUUUAAUGUAAUCCUAUCGUGGGUGAGCUAUAUAUUUAAUAUAUGUUUUAGAUUAGUCAACACACCGGUUUGUUAUUAGUAAAGCGAGAUUCUAAUGAUCUCUAUUGACGAAAAUCAAUCAUUUUUUGUACCAACGUAAGGGCGUUAGUACAUGAGCGUAACAAGACGCACUACAUCGCGAAAUUACUUACUCUCAUGUGCAAACGCCUUUACAAGACAUUCACGAAUUGUAAAAUGAGAUCUAAAUCUUAAUCUAGGCUUUAAGCGUACAAUUACAAUGAUUUAUACUUUGACAUGCAAUAUAAUUUAUCUAUAUCCAA